AGCACACGCUGACGUCUCUGUGUCCUCUUUUUCAUGGCCAGCACAGCGCACGAUGGGCUACGCAGCUCCCGGUGGGGUGCUCUUGGUGGUGCUGACGAGCAGCUUCCACAUAAAGAACAUCCACCAUCGCCACGGUGAGAAGCUUCUCUGCAACAGCCCUUCCACAUGGCCAUCCGGAGCUGGAGCCGCUCAAAGAAAAUGCAAAAGAUUGCUUUUAUUUUUCAGGACAAUUUCACUUUUUUAUAUAGGACGGCUGCACGGCGUUUGUGGACGUGACCGCCCUCGCGGUGAGCAUGGCGGCAGUGUCAGCCCUUCCGCUCCUCGCCAUCUUCCUCUGCUGUCCUCCAGGUCCUUUGAAAUGUCCCUGCCCAACAUCAAGGAUCCUGUUCCCACCUGCUAGACACUGGGGGUGUUUCACACUUGGCUGACUCAACCCAAUUUCUCCCCAACACUGAGUUUCAGUAGGUCUGAGUCUCCAGUGUACUGGUGAUAAACAGCAAUUAAAAUAAUUAAUUCUGCCUUUUUCUUUUUUUUUAUUUUUUUAUACAAUGCAUAACUGGAGGGUCCAAAUGCACACUUCCUCUUUUAUUUUCCUCUUUAAAACCAGGACAUGGGGGAGAGAAGGGCUUUUAAGAGUAGUUGCAAGUGUCUCUCUCAGUAGUUCAUUGUAUCAAUGCGGAUGCAGCCGUGCAGUUACCCACCCCUUCCUUCUGGUGUGUGAGGCCACACUCCACUGCUCGCUCACUGUGUGCAGAUGAUUUCAACGUGCUUUGGAAGGGGAGCAAUGCCGAGUUGGCUCAAGUUAGUUCAAGUUUCAGCAUAACUGGAGGCUGACACAUAACGAGAUGUCGAAUAUUUUGUUCUCAUUACAAUUUUAACUACAAGAUUUAUUUUAUCCUAAAGUGAGUUUAUACCAUAUCAAUGCUGAUUGUGCCUUGGGGAGAACAGAGUUCAGAAAAGAAAGAAAAAAAAAAAAAAAAAAACAAAAAAAACCUACUAUGAACAACUGCUGAAAACAGCAGCUGAGAAUAGGAAGGAGGAACACAGACAGAAACAGCCCUGCAGACACAAGGUGAGUGCAGCAGGAGGGCAGGAGGGGCUCCAGGCACACAGCAGCAGAUCCCCUGCAGCCCGUGGAGAGGAGCCCACGCAGGACCAGGGCAUCUGGGGGAGCUGCUGCCCACAGGGUACCCACGUUGGAGCAGUUUGCUUCUGAUGGGUGCACCCUGUGCUAUGGACCCGUGUGUGGAGCAGCUCCUGGGGAGCUGCAUCCUGUGAGAAGCACAUCUGGGAUCAGGUUGGGCAGGAUACGUUUUAUUGGAGGAACUCCACACUGGAGCAGGAGGAGAAAGUGGCUUCAUCUGCAGAGAAAUCGUUUUUUCACUAUAUUUUCCCUCACA
Molecule: long non-coding RNA, 1400 nt
Filed under: Anas platyrhynchos platyrhynchos (common mallard)
Lineage: Eukaryota; Metazoa; Chordata; Aves; Anseriformes; Anatidae
Description: lncRNA (ENSAPLG00000025110.1)
Source: RNAcentral